GAUAAACGGCUGGCGGCGCACAUAAGACAUGCAAGUCGAACGAACUUAACCUAUUCUUUUAGUUUAGGAGCGGUUAGUGGCGGACGGGUGAGUAACGCGUGAGUAACCUGCCUUACAGAGGGGGACAACAGUUGGAAACGACUGCUAAUACCGCAUAAUGUCUAACCGAGGCAUCUCGGAUAGACCAAAGGAGCAAUCCGCUGUAAGAUGGACUCGCGUCCAAUUAGAUAGUUGGUGGGGUAACGGCCCACCAAGUCGACGAUUGGUAGCCGGACUGAGAGGUUGAACGGCCACAUUGGGACUGAGACACGGCCCAGACUCCUACGGGAGGCAGCAGUGGGGGAUAUUGCACAAUGGGGGAAACCCUGAUGCAGCAACGCCGCGUGAAGGAAGAAGGUCUUCGGAUUGUAAACUUCUGUUUUUAGUGAAGAAACAAAUGACGGUAGCUAAAGAGGAAGCCACGGCUAACUACGUG
RNAcentral lists this ribosomal RNA (475 nucleotides) under uncultured bacterium. RNAcentral's name for it is "bacterial SSU rRNA". It matches the Rfam family "Bacterial small subunit ribosomal RNA", at positions 35 to 507 of the family's 1533-position model. The record is from RNAcentral.